CCUGUCGGUGUAACUGGCAUGUCGCGGCAUGUCCUGUCGGUGGUGAACGGAAUUCCCGGUGCUGCUUAGGCUUAAUCGCCGAAGCAUGUACCGUGUGUUUUUCCGUUCGCCGAUCUCUCCUACUCCGGUGCUCUUAAACGAGUGUCGAGGUAGGCCGACACGUUCACUUUGAACAAAUUAGAGUGCUUAAAGCAGGCUGAAAUAUCUGCCUGAAUAGUGGUGCAUGGAAUGAUAAAACAGGACCUCGGUUCUAUUUUGUUGGUUUUAGGAAUAUGAGGUAAUGAUCAAUGUGGACUGGCGGGGGCAUUCGUAUUGCGACGUUAGAGGUGAAAUUCUUGGAUCGUCGCAAGACGCACUAGAGCGAAAGCAUUUGCCAAGUAUGUCUUAAUUGAUCAAGAACGAAAGUUAGAGGUUCGAAGGCGAUCAGAUACCGCCCUAGUUCUAACCAUAAACGAUGCCAGCCAGCGAU
RNAcentral lists this ribosomal RNA (469 nucleotides) under Rasahus sulcicollis. Its description in RNAcentral is "SSU rRNA". It matches the Rfam family "Eukaryotic small subunit ribosomal RNA", at positions 661 to 1053 of the family's 1831-position model. The record is from RNAcentral. Lineage: Eukaryota; Metazoa; Arthropoda; Insecta; Hemiptera; Reduviidae.